This 460-nucleotide ribosomal RNA is filed under the name uncultured bacterium. Its description in RNAcentral is "partial 16S ribosomal RNA". It matches the Rfam family "Bacterial small subunit ribosomal RNA", at positions 338 to 795 of the family's 1533-position model. The record is from RNAcentral.
CCUACGGGAGUCAGCAGUGAGGAAUAUUGGUCAAUGGACGAGAGUCUGAACCAGCCAAGUAGCGUGAAGGAUGACUGCCCUAUGGGUUGUAAACUUCUUUUAUAUGGGAAUAAAAUGUUCCACGUGUGGCAUUUUGUAUGUACUAUAUGAAUAAGGAUCGGCUAACUCCGUGCCAGCAGCCGCGGUAAUACGGAGGAUCCGAGCGUUAUCCGGAUUUAUUGGGUUUAAGGGGAGCGUAGGUGGAUUGUUAAGUCAGUUGUGAAAGUUUGCGGCUCAACCGUAAAAUUGCAGUUGAGACUGGCAGUCUUGAGUACAGUAGAGGUAGGCGGAAUUCGUGGUGUAGCGGUGAAAUGCUUAGAUAUCACGAAGAACCCCGAUUGCGAAGGUAGCUUACUAGACUGUGACUGACACUGAUGCUCGAAAGUGUGGGUAUCAAACAGGAUUAGAUACCCGGGUAGUC